RNAcentral lists this ribosomal RNA (465 nucleotides) under uncultured bacterium. Its description in RNAcentral is "partial 16S ribosomal RNA". It matches the Rfam family "Bacterial small subunit ribosomal RNA", at positions 338 to 795 of the family's 1533-position model. The record is from RNAcentral.
CCUACGGGAGGCAGCAGUGGGGAAUAUUGCGCAAUGGGCGAAAGCCUGACGCAGCGACGCCGCGUGAGGGAUGAAGGUCUUCGGAUCGUAAACCUCUGUCAGCAGGGAAGAACGGUCACUGUGCUAAUCAGCAGUGAAUUGACGGUACCUGCAAAGGAAGCACCGGCUAACUCCGUGCCAGCAGCCGCGGUAAUACGGAGGGUGCGGGCGUUAAUCGGAAUUACUGGGCGUAAAGCGCUCGUAGGCGGUAUGUCAAGUCAAGGGUGAAAUCCCCGCGCUCAACGUGGGAACUGCCUUUGAAACUGGCAAACUGGAGUGUGUGAGAGGAUGGUGGAAUUCCAGGUGUAGGAGUGAAAUGCGUAGAUAUCUGGAGGAACAUCAGUGGCGAAGGCGACUAUCUGGCACAUAACUGACGCUGAGGAGCGAAAGCGUGGGUAGCAAACAGGAUUAGAUACCCUAGUAGUC